RNAcentral lists this ribosomal RNA (253 nucleotides) under uncultured Oscillospira sp. RNAcentral's name for it is "partial 16S ribosomal RNA". It matches the Rfam family "Bacterial small subunit ribosomal RNA", at positions 524 to 776 of the family's 1533-position model. Lineage: Bacteria; Bacillati; Bacillota; Clostridia; Eubacteriales; Oscillospiraceae. The record is from RNAcentral.
UACGGAGGAUGCGAGCGUUAUCCGGAUUUACUGGGUGUAAAGGGCGUGUAGCCGGGCUGACAAGUCAGAUGUGAAAUCCCGUGGCUCAACCACGGAACUGCAUUUGAAACUGUCGGUCUUGAGUAUCGGAGAGGCAGGCGGAAUUCCUAGUGUAGCGGUGAAAUGCGUAGAUAUUAGGAGGAACACCGGCGGCGAAGGCGGCCUGCUGGACCGUAACUGACGUUGAGGCUCGAAAGCGUGGGGAGCAAACAGG